CAGAUGUGGCAGACCAUGUUCUUGGCUUCUAAGCUUUUGUGUGAAUAUGGUGAACUGAGAGUAAUGGUAAGGAGGCAGGAAUUAAUAUUUAAAGUGGAAAGCAAUACUUGACAUAUUGAAGAAACCCUCCUCAGGGCCAACAGACCAUUGAAUAGCUGAGAUAUUUGAAGGACAGCAGAACGGAGCUUGAACAGCUUCACCCUUUUUACAGCACAAAGCUCCCCACGGAUAUCAUAAACCCACAUAAGCUUGUGUUUUACAGAAUAGUGAAUAACGCAACAUUUCUGCUGGAACUGGAUUCCAAGGAAGAUGGUGGCAGAGAGAGCAAGUGCAGUUGACCAGGGACAGACUUUGGGGCAUCUCUGAGAGCUCCACCCCAUCCCCUUAUCAACAAUCCCGAUUCUGAGUAAAGAGCUAAUUUUCAAAAGCCUUUGAUAUGAAGACCAUUUAAUUUAAAUGUAGUGUCAAUGUACAGUUUAAUAAAUGACAGGAGAACUUUGCACUUGCUCAAAGAAAGGUAGCGAAGGUUUUAUGAUAAUGGAAGAUGCAGGCCAUUGCUUCGCGAGUUCCUUUCGACUGUCCUAGUUCCAACCACAUGAAUAAACUUUGCUCCACCAAAGGUUAGAGUUUGAUGUUCACUGAUAGCAGUGUUCAGUUAUAUUUGCUGUUCUUCAGAGUGCAGCAAGACCUCCAGGUGUGGACUGAUACACAUUUUGAAUAUCAAUUGCCAUUUAAGUUUUGGACAAUAAAACACAAAUAAUCUCUUUGUUCAUGUGUCAUUGUUUUCAAAUUCCUUGCCAAAUUUAUUCUAGUUACGUAUUGCACUUAACUGUAAACUUAACUAGGCCAAUCAACUUAAGUGAACCUGUCAAAGCAGG
This is a long non-coding RNA of Mobula hypostoma (lesser devil ray), 878 nucleotides long. RefSeq lists it as uncharacterized. The record is from RefSeq and is a predicted model, not a curated record. NCBI's taxonomy places the organism in Eukaryota, Metazoa, Chordata, Chondrichthyes, Myliobatiformes, Myliobatidae. The transcript is spliced from 3 exons.